CUCGCCAGAAAUCUAAUCUCCUCUCUGCCGCCGCGGCGCAGCCGUUUACGGUGGCAUGUUCAGCAGGAGGCCGUCGGCGGGAUACGAGUCGGAACAGCAGCUACGGCUGCUCUCGCAGUCACUAGGGCGCCAUGGCGCCUCUGGCGCCCCCUUCAGCCUCCACGCGGAGCUGCAGAAGCUCUCCACCUAAGAAAUCAUGGACGCCAAGGCGCUGGCCGCGUCCAAGAGCCAAAACGACGCGGAGAGGCGGCGAAGAGAGAGAAUCAACAAUCAUCUUGCUAAGUUGAGAAGCUUGCUCCCCAACACAACCAAAAUGGAGAGUGACGAAUGUGCUCUUCAUCAGCAGCGGAGAUGGAGGCGAGGGUGUCGGCAGGGUGGGUCUUGUAGGUGACGGCGGCGGACUUGCUGAUGCCGUCGUCGUCGGUGAGUGGAGCUUUAGCAUCAAAAAUUUGGUUGAAAUCUGCUGAGAAAGAUGACUGCUAAGCAAGAAGAAGAAAAAAAGGAAUAUGCAGAAAAAAUUGCAGGUGGGCCCCACAAUUCGAAUUAAAAAAAAAAUCAUUAACGUUGACUGACGGCGUUUGGUCAGAGGGGUUUAAGUGUACGAUUUUUUGAACUUUAGGGGCUAAUUUGCACACACAGUGAGUAUGAGGAGCAAUACGCUAUAAGGGCCUACACUACAGGGGUCUAUAUGCACCUUCACCUUUUAUAAUAUUGCAUGUAAGCUGAAAAAAUCCGCUACAAGUCAUGCAAUAUUCUUUUUGUAAUUAAUUAUUUUGUAUGUGUAGUAGAUUCGAAUUUUGCCAAUAUUUUUUUAAAUUUUGGUUUACAUA
Salvia miltiorrhiza (redroot sage) is the source of this 830-nucleotide long non-coding RNA. RefSeq lists it as uncharacterized. The record is from RefSeq and is a predicted model, not a curated record. The transcript is spliced from 2 exons. NCBI's taxonomy places the organism in Eukaryota, Viridiplantae, Streptophyta, Magnoliopsida, Lamiales, Lamiaceae.